Long non-coding RNA from Gorilla gorilla gorilla (western lowland gorilla), 764 nucleotides. RefSeq lists it as uncharacterized. The transcript is spliced from 3 exons. NCBI's taxonomy places the organism in Eukaryota, Metazoa, Chordata, Mammalia, Primates, Hominidae. The record is from RefSeq and is a predicted model, not a curated record.
GCCUGCGGAGAUUGUCUUUCCAAGGUGGGAGCUGCCCUUACCUCUUUAAUUUACUUUCCUCCAGGCUGAAAUUGUGAACCUUGGCCACUCCCAGUUAAAAUUCUCUUCUCUCAUUUGGGACACUGAAGGGCAUCUUUCACCCCCAACUGUCAAAUAGAAACAUAGAAAGCAACUCAACAUAGCCUUCAACAACCAGGAACUGUAGAAAAGGAAUUUGCAAACAUUGCACAUUCUCCUUUGUUGCUUCAAAUAUGUGGUAUCUUCUAGGAACUGGGCCCAGAGUCUCGCUGUGUCGCCCAGGCUGGAGUGCAAGUGGCAUGAUCUCGGCUCACAACUGCAACCUCCAUCUCCCGGGUUCAAACGAUUCUCCUACCUCAGCCUUCCGAAUAUCUGGGAUUACAGGCUUGUGAAGAAGGUGCCUUUCUUCCCCUUCGCCUUCUGCCAUGAUUGUAAGUUUCCUGAGGCCUCCCCAGCCAUGUUGAAUUCUCAUUGUCCCUGAUAAAAUAGCACCCUCUCUUCCUCUGCUCUUCCACCCUUUUCCUCUUCCACUGUGCAACUGAAGACUAGGAAAGAAUGACAUGCAAAAUAAGAGGUUUUGGAUUCAGCGUAGGAGUAACUACUGGAUGCUACUUACAGAAAACUUUAUAUUUGUGCUGAAAAAUCUUGUUAUCUAGGUGAAAGCCAAUGCUAUCCUAAUGACAAAUUGUUGGGGAAAUAAAUUUAUAAGAGACUUUAUUUAAAGAAAUAAAAGAAAAAAUAAUAAA